GAUGAAGAACGUAGCGAAAUGCGAUACUUGGUGUGAAUUGCAGAAUCCCGUGAACCAUCGAGUCUUUGAACGCAAGUUGCGCCUCAAGCCAUUAGGUUGAGGGCACGUCUGCCUGGGCGUCACAUAUCGUUGCCUGAUGCCAGUUUCCUCGUGAUGGGUGACUGUGCAGGGCGAAUGAUGGCUUCCCGUGAGCAUUGUUGCCUCAUGGUUGGUUGAAAAUUGAGUCCUUGGUAGGGAGCGCCGUGAUAGAUGGUGGUUGAGUGACGAACGAGACCCAAUCAUGUGAGACCCCUACCGAAUUUGGCCUUCAUGACCCACAUGCGUCUUUGGAACGCUCAUGACGAGACCUCAGGUCAGGCGGGGCUACCCGCUGAGUUUAAGCAUAUAAUAAGCGGAGGA
Molecule: unclassified non-coding RNA, 399 nt
Filed under: soil metagenome
Description: partial contains 5.8S ribosomal RNA, internal transcribed spacer 2, and large subunit ribosomal RNA
Rfam family: 5.8S ribosomal RNA (bases 1-122)
Source: RNAcentral